UGGCGCUCUCUGAACCCCUCUGUCCGUGACUACACGUAUUACUCCCAGACCCACGACUCCUAUCAACGUCUGGACUACCUGCUGAUCCAUUCAUUGCUCCUUCCCUCACUUACAUCUACAGAUGGCACAUCAAGAUGGGUAUCCCCAGAUUUGACAAUUGGUUCUGCUAUCUGGACCAGAACCUCAACAAGUAAAUAUGCCUUGUCCUAUAAGAAGACAAUGAUUAAAAGACAGUUCAUACGGUUUGAUUCCUAAGCGCUUAUGUUCUCUGUUUGCAUACUGAUGGCUCCGCUGGCUUCUCAAGUAUAGUAGAAUACCUGUGUCUUGGAAAAUUAAAGGGUCCACCAUAAACCAAUAUACAGUAGCUUUCACUUCUUAAUGUCUAAAGUAGUCAGCUGACAAAAGAGAUCAUACACUGACAUCUGCUGGUCACAAGUUAAACUGCUCUGGAAAACCAAAAUAUAAAAAAAUAUGUGAGCCUAGCCAAAUUAUUGGGGCUUAUAUAGGAUUCUUUUUCUAAACCUAUUUUAGGGAACAUUAAUACCGUAAUUUAUUAAGAUGAAGCAGUGUCU
This is a long non-coding RNA of Hyla sarda, 572 nucleotides long. RefSeq lists it as uncharacterized. The record is from RefSeq and is a predicted model, not a curated record. The transcript has 3 exons. Lineage: Eukaryota; Metazoa; Chordata; Amphibia; Anura; Hylidae.